UGGGGAAUAUUGCACAAUGGGCGCAAGCCUGAUGCAGCCAUGCCGCGUGUAUGAAGAAGGCCUUCGGGUUGUAAAGUACUUUCAGUCGGGAGGAAGGUGGUAAGGUUAAUAACCUUGGCAAUUGACGUUACCGACAGAAGAAGCACCGGCUAACUCCGUGCCAGCAGCCGCGGUAAUACGGAUGGUGCAAGCGUUAAUCGGAAUUACUGGGCGUAAAGCGCACGCAGGCGGUUGAUUGAGUCAGAUGUGAAAUCCCCGGGCUUAACCCGGGAAUUGCAUCUGAUACUGGUCAGCUAGAGUCUUGUAGAGGGGGGUAGAAUUCCAUGUGUAGCGGUGAAAUGCGUAGAGAUGUGGAGGAAUACCGGUGGCGAAGGCGGCCCCCUGGACAAAGACUGACGCUCAGGUGCGAAAGCGUGGGGAGCAAACAGG
RNAcentral lists this ribosomal RNA (429 nucleotides) under Chloroflexota bacterium. RNAcentral describes it as "Chloroflexi bacterium partial 16S ribosomal RNA". It matches the Rfam family "Bacterial small subunit ribosomal RNA", at positions 355 to 776 of the family's 1533-position model. Lineage: Bacteria; Bacillati; Chloroflexota. The record is from RNAcentral.